Penaeus monodon (black tiger shrimp) is the source of this 184-nucleotide long non-coding RNA. RefSeq lists it as uncharacterized. The record is from RefSeq and is a predicted model, not a curated record. NCBI's taxonomy places the organism in Eukaryota, Metazoa, Arthropoda, Malacostraca, Decapoda, Penaeidae. The transcript has 3 exons.
GUGAUAUUAAAAGACGGUGGAAAGAACACGGACAAGCUGUGUGGGAAGAGAGCGCACUUGUUUUGGCAGAGCGACACAGGCAACCUCGAAGUCUCCUUCAAGUCGAACUGCUUCCGGCAACAUAUUGGCUUCGCGUGCACCGUCUGCGCUUCAGGUCCUCUUCCUGCUACGGCACCUAACUGCA